GACGAACGCUGGCGGCGCGCUUAACACAUGCAAGUCGAACGGAAAGGCCUGCUUUCCCUUGUGGAUUGCGGGUACUCGAGUGGCGAACGGGUGAGUAACACGUGAGUGAUCUGCCCCCAACUUGGGUAUAAGCCUGGGAAACUGGGUCUAAUUCCCGAUAGGACUGCAGGGUGGUGCCUGUUGUGGAAAACGAUUUUCUAGUGGUUGGGGAUGAGCUCGCGGCCUAUCAGCUUGUUGGUGGGGUAAUGGCCUACCAAGGCGGCGACGGGUAGCCGGCCUGAGAGGGUGGGCGGCCGCAUUGGGACUGAGAUACGGCCCAGACGCCUACGGGAGGCAGCAGUGGGGAAUAUUGCACAAGGGGCGGAAGCCUGAUGCAGCGACGCCGCGUGGGGGAUGACGGCCUUCGGGUUGUAAACUCCUUUCGACCGCGAGGAAGCCACCUGGUUGGAAGGGUGGUGACGGUAGUGGUAGAAGAAGCACCGGCUAACUACGUG
This 494-nucleotide ribosomal RNA is filed under the name uncultured bacterium. RNAcentral describes it as "partial 16S ribosomal RNA". It matches the Rfam family "Bacterial small subunit ribosomal RNA", at positions 28 to 507 of the family's 1533-position model. The record is from RNAcentral.